UGGGAAUUUGGACAAUGGGCGAAAGCCUGAUCCAGCAAUGCCGCGUGUGUGAAGAAGGCCUUCGGGUUGUAAAGCACUUUUGUCCGGAAAGAAAUCCUUGGCUCUAAUACAGUCGGGGGAUGACGGUACCGGAAGAAUAAGCACCGGCUAACUACGUGCCAGCAGCCGCGGUAAUACGUAGGGUGCAAGCGUUAAUCGGAAUUACUGGGCGUAAAGCGUGCGCAGGCGGUUUGCUAAGACCGAUGUGAAAUCCCCGGGCUCAACCUGGGAACUGCAUUGGUGACUGGCAGGCUAGAGUAUGGCAGAGGGGGGUAGAAUUCCACGUGUAGCAGUGAAAUGCGUAGAGAUGUGGAGGAAUACCGAUGGCGAAGGCAGCCCCCUGGGCCAAUACUGACGCUCAUGCACGAAAGCGUGGGGAGCAAAACAGGAUUAGAUACCCUGGUAGUCCACGCCCUAAACGAUGUCAACUAGUUGUUGGGGAUUCAUUUCCUUAGUAACGUAGCUAACGCGUGAAGUUGACCGCCUGGGGAGUACGGUCGCAAGAUUAAAACUCAAAUGAAUUGACGGGGUCAUAGCUGUUUCCU
Molecule: ribosomal RNA, 584 nt
Filed under: uncultured bacterium
Lineage: Bacteria
Description: partial 16S ribosomal RNA
Rfam family: Bacterial small subunit ribosomal RNA
Source: RNAcentral